This 732-nucleotide ribosomal RNA is filed under the name uncultured bacterium. Its description in RNAcentral is "bacterial SSU rRNA". It matches the Rfam family "Bacterial small subunit ribosomal RNA", at positions 28 to 776 of the family's 1533-position model. The record is from RNAcentral.
GAUGAACGCUGACAGAAUGCUUAACACAUGCAAGUCUACUUGAAGCUAACUUCGGUUAGUGGAUGGUGGCGGACGGGUGAGUAACGCGUAAAGAACUUGCCUCACAGUUUGGGACAACAUUUGGAAACGAAUGCUAAUACCGGAUAUUAUGAUACUUCUGCAUGGAAGAAUCAUGAAAGCUAUAUGCGCUGUGAGAGAGCUUUGCGUCCCAUUAGCUAGUUGGAGAGGUAACGGCUCACCAAGGCGAUGAUGGGUAGCCGGCCUGAGAGGGUGAACGGCCACAAGGGGACUGAGGCACGGCCCUUACUCCUACGGGAGGCAGCAGUGGGGAAUAUUGGACAAUGGACCAAAAGUCUGAUCCAGCAAUUCUGUGUGCACGAUGAAGUUUUUCGGAAUGUAAAGUGCUUUCAGUUGGGAAGAAGCAAGUGACGGUACCAACAGAAGAAGCGACGGCUAAAUACGUGCCAGCAGCCGCGGUAAUACGUAUGUCGCAAGCGUUAUCCGGAUUUAUUGGGCGUAAAGCGCGUCUAGGUGGUUAUAUAAGUCUGAUGUGAAAAUGCGGGGCUCAACUCCGUAUUGCGUUGGAAACUGUAUGACUAGAGUACUGGAGAGGUAAGCGGAACUACAAGUGUAGAGGUGAAAUUCGUAGAUAUUUGUAGGAAUGCCGAUGGGGAAGCCAGCUUACUGGACAGAUACUGACGCUAAAGCGCGAAAGCGUGGGUAGCAAACAGG